This 465-nucleotide ribosomal RNA is filed under the name Liua shihi (Wushan salamander). RNAcentral describes it as "partial 16S ribosomal RNA". It matches the Rfam family "Bacterial large subunit ribosomal RNA", at positions 1969 to 2594 of the family's 2925-position model. The record is from RNAcentral. Lineage: Eukaryota; Metazoa; Chordata; Amphibia; Caudata; Hynobiidae.
UUGUCUUUUAAAUAAAGACCAGUAUGAAUGGCAAGACGAAAGUUCAACUGUCUCCCUAAAUUAAUCAGUGAAAUUGAUUUUCCCGUGCAGAAGCGGGAAUAAAAUUAUAAGACGAGAAGACCCUAUGGAGCUUUAAAUAUAUGAUCAAUUGUAUAAUAUAAACCCCGAAAGAUAACAUAUUAAAUGAAACAUCGUGAUCAAAAUUUUAGGUUGGGGCGACCACGGAGAAAAGAAAAACCUCCGAGAUGAAAAGAUAUCUUAAUUUAUGAAUUACAAUUCUAAAAAAUAAAAUAUUUAACAUAAUUGAUCCAAUAGCUUGAUCAACGAACUAAGUUACCCUAGGGAUAACAGCGCAAUCCUUUCCAAGAGUCCUUAUCGACGAAUGGGUUUACGACCUCGAUGUUGGAUCAGGACACCCCAAUGGUGCAGUCGCUAUUAAAGGUUCGUUUGUUCAACGAUUAAAGU